AUGAUGGCGGUAGUGGUAGUAGUGGUAGUGGUAGUAGUGGUAAUGAUGAUGAUGGUGGUGGUAGUAGUGGCAAUGAUGGUGGUGGUGGUGGUAGUAGGGGUAAUGAUGAUGGUGGUGGUAGUAGUGGUAAUGAUGAUAAUGGUCGUGGUAGUAGUGGUAAUGAUGGCGGUGGUGGUGGUAGUAGUAGUGGUAAUGAUGGUGGUGGUGGUGGUAGUAGUGGCAAUGAUGGUGGUGGUAGUAGUAGUGGUAAUGAUGGUGGUGGUGGCAGUGGUAAUGAUGAUGAUGGUGGUAGUAGUGGUAAUGAUGAUAAUGGUGGUAGUAGUGGUAAUGAUGGUGGUGGUGGUACUAGUGGUAAUGAUGAUGAUGGUGGUAGUAGUGGUAAUGAUGAUGGUGGUAGUAGUAGUGGUAAUGGCGAUGGCGGUGGUAGUGGUAAUGAUGACAGUGGUAGUAGUGGUAAUGAUGAUGGUGGUGGUAGUAGUGGUAAUGAUGGUGGUGGUGGUAUUAGUGGUAAUAAUGAUGCUGGUGGUAGUAGUGCUAAUGAUGGUGGUGGUAUAGUGGUAAUUAUGGUGGUGGUGGUGGUAGUAGUAGU
Molecule: long non-coding RNA, 589 nt
Organism: Oncorhynchus tshawytscha (Chinook salmon)
Lineage: Eukaryota; Metazoa; Chordata; Actinopteri; Salmoniformes; Salmonidae
Source: Ensembl